AUUGAACGCUGGCGGCAUGCCUUACACAUGCAAGUCGAACGGCAGCACGGGUGCUUGCACCUGGUGGCGAGUGGCGAACGGGUGAGUAAUACAUCGGAACGUACCUUAUCGUGGGGGAUAACGCAGCGAAAGCCGUGCUAAUACCGCAUACGCCCUGAGGGGGAAAGCGGGGGAUCGCAAGACCUCGCGCGAUUAGAGCGGCCGAUGCCUGAUUAGCUUGUUGGUGGGGUAAAAGCCCACCAAGGCGACGAUCAGUAGCUGGUCUGAGAGGACGAUCAGCCACACUGGGACUGAGACACGGCCCAGACUCCUACGGGAGGCAGCAGUGGGGAAUUUUGGACAAUGGGGGCAACCCUGAUCCAGCAAUGCCGCGUGAGUGAAGAAGGCCUUCGGGUUGUAAAGCUCUUUUGUCAGGGAAGAAACACCGGCUCUAACACAGUCCGGGAAUGACGGUACCUGAAGAAUAGGCACCGGCUAACUACGUGCCAGCCGCCGCAGUAA
This 501-nucleotide ribosomal RNA is filed under the name uncultured bacterium. RNAcentral's name for it is "partial 16S ribosomal RNA". It matches the Rfam family "Bacterial small subunit ribosomal RNA", at positions 29 to 523 of the family's 1533-position model. The record is from RNAcentral.